UUCGUUGCUAGUUGUAUCCCGACUGCCGCUCGCAUCCCGAUCGUGUAACGAGUAACAACCCAACAGUCAAAAGCCGAAGAUUUUAUAUUGACCUUUCCCCAACAGUCAAAAGCCGAAGAUUUUAUAUUGACCUUUCACUUUUUCUAUCUGUCUCUCGCUCUAAUUUGAGCGAUUUUCCCAUGAUGAGUGUCCCCGAGCCUCCUCGUGUGGUUGUUGUUGUUGGAAGUUGAAACCGAAACCCCUUCGUGCGCUGCCAAAAUCAGCGAAGAACGAAAUCGAGUGGCUCAAGCAAAAAAACGAAAAAAAAAUGACGAACGAGUGUGCUGUGACAAUAACACACACACGCACAAGGCGACACCCGAAAUCUGGUGCGAUACCGGCUUUCAGUGGAGCAAGUACACACAUGCACACAUUUGGCCACACCACGGUGAUACAACACACAGCCACGCACUUGGCGAUACACGCUGUGUGGUGCGGUGCGGCGGACGUUCAGAAUUCAGUGGUGCAAAUACACACAUGCAUACACUUGGCGAUACACGCUCUGCUGUGCGGUGAGGUUUGUGUUCUGUGUCCAGUGGUGCAAAUACACACACACACGCACUUGGCUACACACGCAGUACGGCGCGGUUGGCUUGGCAGAAGCGCAUACACACAUUCACGCAGUAGGCUUUACUUUCAGUCCAGUGAGGUUGGUGCUCGUGUGGUGUUUCAGCGCUUGGCGGAUAAACCCCGUAAAAAUGGAAUUUUGUUUAAUUUGAGGUAAGUAAAAGUGAUUAAAAUUAUCAACCUACAUCCCCCCUUCUUAUUAAUAUCAUUUUUCUUCCAUUUCAUGUGUGUUUCACGGCGAACGGAGACAACAAAACCUGUGGCAGUGUUGUGGUGUUGGAGAUGGUGGCCCGUACAGUGCAGCGAGAAGAACCAGGAGCAACAGCGAUGAGGAGCAGAAAGUGCUGUGCUGAAUUUGUUUUUUUUUCACUGUGCGAGUGUAAAAACUGUUUUUUUUUAAAUUAUGUGCGUUGAUUUAGAAUUAAGUGCAGUGAUAAUUGUGCAAGUGUUGUGUUUUUUUGUAUUCUAUGUUGGUUCGAUUUUCAAUAAAUCGAAUUACGAUAGUAUAAUGGUGUGCACUGUAUCAUUUCGGAAAGAAAUCCUGGCAAAAAAGGGGGAGGGGACUAAUUAAACGAAGGUUCGUGCAGACCCCCGUUCGGGUUUUGCUUCGGCUUCGGGUUUGCUUCGGCUUCGGGACCCGACGGAUCACUUGAAUAAUUUCGCCAACUCAAGUUCUUUUUCAAGCGCGUAUUCAAGCGAUCUCUGAGUGCUGGUGCCCGGUGGGUCGUUUUUUCUAUCUGUCUCUCGCUCUAAUUUGAGUGAUUUUCCCUUCGUGAGUAUCCACGAGCUCCCUCGUGUGGUUGUUGUUGUUGGAAGUUGAAACCGAACCCCCUUCGUGCGCUGCCAAAAUCAGCGAAGAACGAAAUCGAGUGGCUCAAGCGAAAAAACGAAAAAAAUGAUGAACGAGUGUGCUGUGACAAUAACACACACGCACAAGGCGACACCCGAAAUCUGGUGCGAUACCGGCUUUCAGUGGAGCAAGUACACACAUGCACACAUUUGGCCACACCAGCGCUCUGUUCUAGUGCAGGUAGUUUUCUGCAGUCCACGGUGAUACUACACACAGCCACGCACUUGGCGAUACACGCUGUGUGGUGGACGUUCAGAAUUCAGUGGUGCAAAUACACACAUGCAUACACUUGGCGACACACGCUCUGCUGUGCGGUGAGAUUUGUGUGCUGUGUCCAGUGGUGCAAAUACACACACACGCACUUGGCUACACACGCAGUACCCAAGUAGCAGAGCCGAAGUUGUUGAGAGGUUUUUCUGUGUGCCAAAUCGAGAGGCCCUGUCUUCUCUCUCUAGAUUUUGGACGGCAAACCGCCGCCCGUGUAGAAGUGUGUGCGUGUGACGAAAAAUUAUGGAUGAAAUACGGGGCAAGUGGGGUCUGAAGUCUUUCGUUCGUCACACACACAUGCAUUUACCAGCGGAUAUCGCUGGACCGAGUCUACCCAUCUCUCUCGAUUCACCAUGAUUUUUCUGCUAUCGCGCUCAUUCGGGUGUUAGGCAUCCUCAGUCUGUUCAGAACUUUCCCUGUGGAAGGAUGUGUUGGAGUGAGGUGCGAUUUCUUGUGCGACGUACUUUGCUCAUUUACGUUUUGUGCCUUCUUCCUCAGUUAUGGAAUGAUUUAUCCUAGCAAAUUGUUGAGUUACAGGUGUGUGCGCUAUUUAUUAACGACUGCAUGCUGGCCUCGUCAACAAUCUUCGAAGUGAGCGACGGAAUGAAAACGUUUUCCAGUUUUAAAAUAUUAAGGUAAGUUUUGAUCUAAUCCUCUGCGCUAAACUCUCCAUAGUAAUACAUACUACUUACAUUCAUUAUUGCUUCAUUCAGCCCCCGGUGAGGACGUCAUUUUUUAACAGAAGCCGGUUCAACACGCGCAGCUCCUGUUCAUGACGUCAUCAUAAAACUGAAGCCAGCAUAACACGCGCAGCACGGAUGGUACCCCGAACGCAGUAGGAGGAAGGAAGAACGAGAGGAGAAAGAACGGUAAAUUUGGAAGGGGGAAAGCGCUCUGCCGUCUACACAGCGGGAGUAUGCCAAAACACUUGUGGGAAGGGAGAGGGAUAUUAUUCAAUAAACAGCAUGCAUGUGUGUGUAAAGCAAAUGUGAACAGCCUCAUCAUUUCUAUAAGCAAUCCGAAAAAGGGGGUGGAGCAAACACAUUGGUAUGCGUGAGCGGCUGAAGAAACCAGAACGUUUAGAUGUGUGCGUGACGGAUGGUUCGGGCGCCUGUGGCGAAGCUCUCGACAAGACUGCAAACGAGAGCUUUGUGGAGAGCUUUGUAGGGAGCUCAGAUUACACAGGCCGCCGUCGGUUUUUGCGUCCUUGGGUACGGCGCGGUUGGCUUGGCAGAAGCGCAUACACACAUUCACGCAGUAGGCUUUACUUUCAGUCCAGUGAGGUUGGUGCUUGUGUGGUGUUUCAGCUCUUGGUGGUCAGCGGAUAAACCCCGUAAAAAUGGAGAUCAUUCUAAUUUAAGGUAAGUAAAAGUGAUUAAAAUUAUCAACCAACAUCCCCCCUUCUAAUUAAUAUCAUUUUUCUUCCAUUUCAUGUGUGUUUCACGGCGAACGGAGACAACAAAACCUGUGGCAGUGUCGUGGUGUUGGAGAUGGUGGCCCGUACAGUGCAGCGAGAAGAACUAGGCGCGACAGCGAUGUGGAGCAGAAAGUGCUGUGCUGAUUUUAAUUUUUCUUUGUGCGAGUGUAAAAAGUGUUUUUUAAAUUAUGUGCGUUAAUUUAGAAUUAAGUGCAGUGAUUAUUGUGCAUGUGUUGUGUGUGUGUUUUUUUUUUUGUAUUCUAUGUUGGUUCGAUAUCCAAUAAAUCGAAUCAUGUUGAUAUAAUGGUCCGCACUGUAUCAUUUUGGAAAGAAAUCCUGGCAAAAAAGGGGGAGGGGGCUAUUUUAACGAAGGGUCGUACCGAACCCCGUUCGGGUUUUGCUUCGGCUUCGGGUUUGCUUCGGCUUCGGGACCCGACGGAUCGGUUGAAUAAUUUCGCCAACUCAGCUUCAAAGCCAGCUUCAAUCUCAGCGGAUCUCUGAGUGCUGGUGACCGGUGGGAAUGUGUGCGAACAGACAGCGUCCACGGGCCCCACCGGUCACCAGCACUCAGAGAUCCGCUGAGAUUGAAGCUGGCUUUGAAGCUGAGUUGGCGAAAUUAUUCAACCGAUCCGUCGGGUCCCGAAGCCGAAGCAAACCCGAAGCCGAAGCAAAACCCGAACGGGGUUCGGUACGACCCUUCGUUAAAAUAGCCCCCUCCCCCUUUUUUGCCAGGAUUUCUUUCCAAAAUGAUACAGUGCGGACCAUUAUAUCAACAUGAUUCGAUUUAUUGGAUAUCGAACCAACAUAGAAUACAAAAAAAACACACACACAACACAUGCACAAUAAUCACUGCACUUAAUUCUAAAUUAAUGCACAUAAUAAAAAAAAAACACUUUUUACACUCGCACAAAGAACAAUUAAAAUCAGCACAGCACUUUCUGCUCCACAUCGCUGCCGCGCCUAGUUCUUCUCGCUGCACUGUACGGGCCACCAUCUCCAACACCACGACACUGCCACAGGUUUUGUUUUCUCCGUUCGCCGUGAAACACACAUGAAAUGGAAGAAAAAUGAUAUGAAUUAGAAGGGGGGAUGUUGGUUGAUAAUUUUAAUCACUUUUACUUACCUUAAAUUAGAAUGAUCUCCAUUUUUACGGGGUUUAUCCGCUGACCACCAAGAGCUGAAACACCACACAAGCACCAACCUCACUGGACUGAAAGUAAAGCCUACUGCGUGAAUGUGUGUAUGCGCUUCUGCCAAGCCAACCGCGCCGUACUGCGUGUGUAGCCAAGUGCGUGUGUGUGUGUAUUUGCACCACUGGACACAGCACACAAAUCUCAUGGCACAGCAGAGCGUGUGUCGCCAAGUGUAUGCAUGUGUGUAUUUACACCACUGAAUUCUGAACGUCCACCACACAGCGUGUAUCGCCAAGUGCGUGGUUGUGUGUAGUAUCACCGUGGACUGCAGAAAACUACCUGCACUAGAACAGAGCGCUGGUGUGGCCAAAUGUGUGCAUGUGUGUACUUGCUCCACUGAAAGCCGGUAUCGCACCAGAUUUCGGGUGUCGCCUUGUGCGUGUGUGUGUUAUUGUCACAGCACACUCGUUCAUCAUUUUUUUUUUCGUUUUUUCGCUUGAGCCACUCGAUUUCGUUCUUCGCUGAUUUUGGCAGCGCACGAGGGGGUUUCGGCUUCAACUUCCAACAACAACAACCACACGAGGAGGCUCGGGGACACUCAUCAGGGGAAAAUCACUCAAAUUAGAGCGAGAGACAGAUAGAAAAAGUGAAAGGUCAAUAUAAAAUCUUCGGCUUUUGACUGUUGGGUCGCUAGGACACUCGUGCCCAUCAACCGACGAGAGAAAACAUCUCGCAGAGAGGGCGCGUGAGUACCAUGCACGUACGCACCCAACACUAUUAAAACAACAAUCCCAGUCUGUCCAGAACUUUCGUUAUGGAAGGAUGUGCGGGAGUGAUGUACGAUUUCUUGUGUCCCCUACUUUCCUUGUUUAUGUUUUGCGCAGUGUUGCUUCUUCUUCCAUUGUGGAAUGAUUUAUCCUAGCUAACUUGUUGAGGUAAGUUUCUUGAUCUCAUAUGUGCUUCUUUGUACUAAUUCAACUAAUGCUUAUCGGCUUCUAAGUUACAUGUGCAUGCGCCAUUCAUCAACGCCUACCUGCUGGCAUCAUCAACAAUCUUCAAAGUGGGUGACGCAAAGAAUUUUUUUUCAGUUUUAAAAUAUUAAGGUAAGUGUUCCUCUCAUCAUAUACGCAAAACUUUCCAAAGAAAUACGUACUACAUACAUUAAUUAUUUAUUCAUUUUUAUUGACAGCGUUCAGCACAACUUAGCCACAAAAUAACGCACUGGAUUAUGCUAAGAACCUGUGGAAACGCGCGCAGCCCCCGGGAGCGGUAGGAAAAAGGAAGAACGAGAGGAGAAAACUAAAGCCAGCGCGCAGCUCUGAUAGCAUCCCGGACGCGGUAAGAAGAAAAAAGAUCGAGAGGAUCAAUUGAUCAAUUAAUGAUCAAUUGUACAGUUGGUUGCUUUCCAAUGACAAGGUAUACUGAGCCGAAUUUCAUAUUGACCAAUCGAUAUUUCGCAUUGUUUUGAACUGAUUUAUAUUGAGCUUCAAAAUUGUGCAGAAUAUUAUAAUUUUUUCAUCCAACCUAAUAAGCUCUCAAAAAUCAUGCAAACAAUCAACCGAGAAAAUAUUUACACCACCGUAUAGCUGAGAAACGUGAAUUUUUUCGUGGGGUUAGUUGAAAAAAACUUUCUUUUUGUCACUGAAAUAUUCAAUUUCAAAAAAGUAACAACUUUUGGGGCAAAAGAGCCAUCUCUAUUUGGGGCAAGUGUGCCACCAUCUUUCAUAGGCGCGAGCUGUCAAAAAUGUAAACAUUGUUGUAGCGUUCAGUGGUAUGGUCCGCUUUUACGAGCGGAUUCUACUCCGGAAAAACAGACCAGCAACAACCCAUAUUGCGAUACAGUUUGUGAUGAAAAGGGGUUCAUUGGUGACUCAAAGACAUGUAGGAAUACAUACACUAGUGGUACAAACGUAAUUAUUUCCAACUAUGUAAGAAAUACGGUUAUUUUAACCAGGUGGCCGUCUUGCCCCAUACGAGUGGCACUCUUGCCCCAUAGCCCAAAAAAUAACGUCUUUUUGGACCCUUUUUAAAACGCUUCAAAAACUAUGUUGUUUGCACUUUUUUCAAGCGAAAUUCAUUUAUAAGUGAGGAAAUAGAUGUAAAAUGGUUAUGAGAUUGAAAUCGGCUUUUGAAUAACACGUUUUAGUGAGUUAUAACUUGAAAUGCUUAAGGUGGCACACUUGCCCCAAAUUCCGCUACAGCAAAUGUAAACAUGUGUGCCUCAUCAUUUCUAUGAGCGUUUCUACAUACACCGAGACUGCAGCUGAGAGAUGGCUGUGAGAGAAUUGACAACCGAUUUCUCACGCUGGUGCGUGUAGAAGCUCUGAAAAGCGCCGAGAUGAGACUUUUAAAAUGAUGUUGAAAAAAUCCAUUUUAAUCGCUGAAAUGAAGUCAAAAAAGUUUCUUUUACUUUUUAAUAAUAUUUCUACGAUUAUAAGACCGCAAAAAUGCACUGUAUAAUUGAUCGAUUGCUAUAAACUGCCAAUUCAAUUUUUUCUCAGCUCCAUCGUUCUUUGCAUGCCGAGGAGAAUUCUCUCACCGAAAAUGCUGCCAGUCGCUGUCAAAGCAUGCUGUCAGUUAUUUUCUCAGCUGCAUUCUCGGUAUAUGUAGAAACGCUCUAUAAGCAAUCCGAAAAGGGGGUGGAGCAAACACAUUUGUAUGCGUGAGGUGCAGAAGAAAUCAGAGCGUUAUAGUAUGUGUGAACGCGAUCGUUCGGGUGGAAGGUGUCUAUGUGUGCGUGAAACCACAUUUCCACUUCUUCUGCAAGUGGAUUCGUAAGUGGGUAAACAAGUGUACGAGUGGAUCCCAUACAAAACUUUCCCUUUUUGCGGACUGGGAACUGCCACCCCUUCUCACUUGAUACGGACGUCACACGAAGCGUAAACUUUGUCGUAAACUGGAUUUCAGCUAUACAACCAUAUAAUCUUUUGACAGGAAGUUUACGCCUCAUACAAAUCCUGUCCCGCGAGUUGCGCUGCGCUGGACUGACACCCUCUCCCGCUCGUUUUUUUCGCAGCGCGCUGUGCGCUUCCCUUCUCCCGGACUUGAUGCACCCGAAUCAAAACAAAAACUUGAACACAGCAAACUUGGUUUAUAUUUUAUCACUUUUAUUACAAAUAAAAGCACAUUUUAAUUCAUAGCUUCACACAAUCUUGCUUCAAACUGUUAAGGUAUCAAUUCAAGUAUCGAACUAUCCAUACGUAAACACAACAACUAUGUGUAAACGCGGCCUCAUGAACUUUGUAUAUAUACACUCUGAUUUCAAUAAAACUGUGUAGUCGCAUGCUAGCUGUUUUCGGUGUCACUUCAUUUGAUCACAUAUCACAACAGGUUAUGGGCCCAGUCACCAUGGAAAAAGUUAUUCUUGGAAUUCCGCGGUAUAGCGGUGAAGGAAACUUCGACAAUUGGUGUUUCCGUGUAAAAAUGGUGAUGGAUGCAGAAAGUGUGUUACAUACACUGACUGAUGAUGUUCCUGAAGACGAAAAGAAAAAGGAAUUAUUCGAUGUUGGGGAUCGAAAAGCAAAAUGUCUGUUAGUGGGGUUUCUAGCUGAUCAAUGCUUAGAAACAGUGCGUGAUGCAAACACUGCGAAGCAAAUGUGGACGUGUUUAAAUGAAGUGUAUGCAAAGAAAUCUGUGGUUAAUCAGACAAUUUUGCGAAAACAGCUUGGGCGACUCAGGAUGCAUGAAGGAAACUCCAUGCGCGCGCAUCUUCAUGAAUUUGAAGAUUUGGUACGGCAGCUCCGAACAGCAGGUGCGAAUUUGAUAGAAGCGGAUAUCGUUUCGCAACUCUUUCUCAGCUUGCCGGACUCGUAUGAUCCAUUGAUCACAGCCUUGGAAAAUCUUCCUGAAAAAGAUUUAAGCGUUGUAAUAUCCUGGAGAUUUGACCCCUGAUAAGACCAUAGUGCCCAAUAUGCCGGAUCAGAAUAUGACCAUCACCGUGACAACUGUGCGAUAAUCUGAAUGUCAAAAUAAAGAUCAUUCGUUUACGGAUCGUUGUACUGACAACACCUUCAGCCUUCGGUUUAUUCUUCUGCCUUGCGUAUUUAUGCCUUUGUGACACGUUCAACGUUUAAUUCAAAUCGAUAAAACUCGAGGUUUUACAGCGUUGGUUUUUUGAAGCAACGUUUGUUGGUCGAAGAAUGUAAAAGAAGUGAACGUCUUGUGAAUAGUGACAGUGGGCCUUCGGCGGCGUUCGUCGAACGAAAGGAACAAAAACGAUUUUCUGGUAAGUGUCACAAGUGCGGUAAAAUAGGCCAUAUGAAAAAGGACUGUAGGGUCUCGAAUGCGCGAGGAAAUGAACGAAAAAGUGACGUGAAAAAUGAUGCGUGUUUCAUGAUUGGGACAAUCAGUGAUAGUGAGAUAACCACAUGGAUUGUGGAUUCGGGUGCUUCGGAGCACAUUACGAACAAUAAAGAAAUUUUCACCGAUCUCAACAAAAUGGAAUUUCCCAUGAAUAUUGCAGUGGCAAAAGAAGGUGCGUGCAUUACAGCUACUCACCGGGGAAACAUUUCGCGCUUAAAAAAUGUGCACAGUAAAAUUUCUGGUGCAAUUAAUUUAGAAAAUGUAUUAUACAUUCCGGAAGCAAGAGGAAACAUGUUAUCAAUGCGAAAAAUGGAAAACGCAGGUUUUAAGGUCGUUUUCAUGAAAGGGGAAAUAAAAGUGUUCAGAAACUCCGAAUUAGUUUUGGCCGGUGAAAGUUGUGGAAAUCUCUAUAAAGUAGAGUUAUAUCAAGAAAAAUCGAAUCGUGCUUUGUUCAGUGGUAAAAUUCCGGAAGAAUACGAUUUGUGGCAUCGUCGGUACGGACACCUCAGUUCGAAAAAUUUGCAAGUGCUCAUGAAAAAUAAUAUGGUGUUGGGGCUACCGAUCAUUGCUAAAAGAAGACAAAGUGUGUGAAGCGUGUAUCACAGCAAAACAAACUUUUUCUAUACGGAGUGGACAACAAUCGUCAAGAAUCCUGGAACUCGUGCACUCGGACGUGUGUGGUCCGAUGCAGAACAAUGGGGUUAACGGUGAACGAUAUUUUGUUUCGUUCAUCGACGAUUGCAGCAAAUUCACUGUGGUGUACCUGAUGAGAACAAAAGCGGAGGUUUACCAGAAAUUCCGUGAGUAUGAGGCCAUGGUGUGUGCAAAGUUUGGUGAGCGCGUUUCCAAACUUCGAUGCGACAACGGUGGCGAAUACAAAAGUCGUGAAUUUCAAUUGUAUUGCAAACAAAGAGGCAUACAAAUGGAAUGGACAAACCCGUACACGCCUGAACAAAACGGUACAAGUGAGAGGAUGAAUAGGACUCUCGUGGAAAAAGCGCGCUCUAUGUUGGAAGACAAAAGCCUUGACAAAAAGUUGUGGGGUGUGGCAGUUCAAACUGCAGCUUAUUUAGCAAAUCGAAGCCCUGCUGCUGUAAGGAUAUUGACAUGUACCAAUUCAUUCAAAUGUACUCACCUUGGCUGCAAAACAUCGCACAACUGUCAAAAUGUCACAAAUACGUAUUGUCACAAAGAGCACAUGUUUAAGGUAGAAGAAGACAGGAACGCGUCACUCUCAGUUCCCAUUCCCCGGUACCAUCCCCGGUACCAUUAUGCAUGCGAUUUUGGUCUCAUCGGGCUCUAUCUGGGCGCCCAUUAAAAUAAUCCCUUAGAAGCUCCUAUCGGGCUGAAAGCGAGAAACGUCGUGGCGGCGCGAUACAUGUUGCAUGCAUGUGUACUACAUUUUAUGACCCCUCUCGCUUUCUUUCGGAUUGCAAUGAGUUCAGACACACUUACGAAUCCGUUGUUCAAAUUUCUUUUAUUUCUUAUUUUCUUUUUAUGCACCCGCGGGAGAGUGCGAAACGACAAAGAAAAGAAAACACACACACACCUGCUCCUCCCCAUGGUGUUUUUCGCAAUGUGAUCGUAGGAGAACGCGAACGCAAAAACACACACACAAAACCAGGCACGCACGCAGGCAAGCACACAAACACACACCCCACUCCUCUCCCCUCGUGUUUU
Long non-coding RNA from Anopheles coluzzii, 10255 nucleotides. RefSeq lists it as uncharacterized. The record is from RefSeq and is a predicted model, not a curated record. The transcript is spliced from 2 exons. NCBI's taxonomy places the organism in Eukaryota, Metazoa, Arthropoda, Insecta, Diptera, Culicidae.